This 484-nucleotide ribosomal RNA is filed under the name uncultured bacterium. RNAcentral's name for it is "partial 16S ribosomal RNA". It matches the Rfam family "Bacterial small subunit ribosomal RNA", at positions 30 to 507 of the family's 1533-position model. The record is from RNAcentral.
AUUGAACGCUGGCGGCAGGCCUAACACAUGCAAGUCGAGCGGAUGAAGGGAGCUUGCUCCUGGAUUCAGCGGCGGACGGGUGAGUAAUGCCUAGGAAUCUGCCUGGUAGUGGGGGAUAACGUCCGGAAACGGGCGCUAAUACCGCAUACGUCCUGAGGGAGAAAGUGGGGGAUCUUCGGACCUCACGCUAUCAGAUGAGCCUAGGUCGGAUUAGCUAGUUGGUGGGGUAAAGGCCUACCAAGGCGACGAUCCGUAACUGGUCUGAGAGGAUGAUCAGUCACACUGGAACUGAGACACGGUCCAGACUCCUACGGGAGGCAGCAGUGGGGAAUAUUGGACAGUGGGCGAAAGCCUGAUCCAGCCAGGCCGCGUGUGUGAAGAAGGUCUUCGGAUUGUAAAGCACUUUAAGUUGGGAGGAAGGGCAGUAAGUUAAUACCUUGCUGUUUUGACGGUACCAACAGAAUAAGCACCGGCUAACUUCGUG